AGAGCGAACGCUGGCGGCAGGCCUAACACAUGCAAGUCGAACGGACCCUUCGGGGUUAGUGGCGGACGGGUGAGUAACACGUGGGAACGUGCCUUUUGGUUCGGAAUAGCUCCUGGAAACGGGUGGUAAUGCCGAAUGUGCCCUUCGGGGGAAAGAUUUAUCGCCAUUAGAGCGGCCCGCGUCUGAUUAGCUAGUUGGUGAGGUAAUGGCUCACCAAGGCGACGAUCAGUAGCUGGUCUGAGAGGAUGACCAGCCACAUUGGGACUGAGACACGGCCCAAACUCCUACGGGAGGCAGCAGUGGGGAAUCUUGCGCAAUGGGCGAAAGCCUGACGCAGCCAUGCCGCGUGAAUGAUGAAGGUCUUAGGAUUGUAAAAUUCUUUCACCGGGACGAUAAUGACGGUACCCGGAGAAGAAGCCCGGCUAAACUCGUGCCAGCAGCCGC
RNAcentral lists this ribosomal RNA (444 nucleotides) under uncultured soil bacterium. RNAcentral's name for it is "bacterial SSU rRNA". It matches the Rfam family "Bacterial small subunit ribosomal RNA", at positions 26 to 518 of the family's 1533-position model. The record is from RNAcentral.